AAGGCAGACGCCCAGCUGUCGGAGCCACCCAGAGAUUACUUGGCGCUGUGUGGGGCAUGGAUUGCGGGAUCGCAGAGGGAGAAGCUCCAAGAAUACUUCGGGACCGUGGUGGGCUGGAGCGAGGUGAAAUGAGCAGCUUCAUGAUUUCCAUGCUGGUUCCUUGUCUACGACGUCCGGAGGGCAAGGGCACAGAUACCCUCCUAAGUACGGGUACGCGGCCAGCCCCACGUCACGCUGCAGGACGCGGGCAGAGGCUCCUCAGAGAGAAUGAGAGACAGAGAGCAUGAGAGGGAGGAGGGUC
Molecule: non-coding RNA, 301 nt
Organism: Leptonychotes weddellii (Weddell seal)
Lineage: Eukaryota; Metazoa; Chordata; Mammalia; Carnivora; Phocidae
Source: RefSeq, a predicted model, not a curated record